This is a long non-coding RNA of Exaiptasia diaphana, 859 nucleotides long. RefSeq lists it as uncharacterized. The transcript is spliced from 2 exons. The record is from RefSeq and is a predicted model, not a curated record. NCBI's taxonomy places the organism in Eukaryota, Metazoa, Cnidaria, Anthozoa, Actiniaria, Aiptasiidae.
UCGAUAAAUUAUUCMAUGUGAAACACGCAUGKAAAACCUAAUGAUGUUUGUUUUUAUUUGCUCUGUACCUAAUGCGCAAACAGUCUUUAUAGCCGCCGGUAAACAGCUGUUCUUCCCAUAAUAUUCCCAAUGCCUUAAAGCGGGUUUGAGAAGAAACCAAACAAUCAAAAAACUUUGUGGUAGUACUUUAGUACAGUCAGGGUCUUAAUCGAUCUGGAAAUUCGUUCGACACGGCUGAAAAACAGAAUGUCAUUACACUAUUUUACAGCAAAGUAGACGAUCAAGAAACACUACAAUGAAAGGAAACAGGAACGGAUCGCUUUCUUGCAGAUAUUAUACCUGCUAAAAAUUCCAGCARUUCCCAUUGCACAGCUGUCGAUGUGGACGAUCGUGACAUAUGCGGGACUGGUGGCCCUUUCCACAUAAGAUUGUCACCCGUUUAUAGCACUGAUAAUUGCAUAAUCUAUGGACUAUAUGAUCCAUUUUGGGGAUGUGUUAAUGGAACACUUCUUAGAUAUUUGGCAAUGAAUUGAUAGUUGAAACUUUUCCGAUUUCUGCACAGUGUCUCUCUUGAUAUAUAUAGCUUUGUCGAUUUGCUUAGGUGAAAAUUAAGCUAUUGGUGAAAAUUAAGCAGGUGCAUUCCUUCAUCAAAACAGUUGUCCGAAAAAUAACCUCAAAACAUGAUAACCAAUACUUCUUGAAUUAUUUUUCCUGAAUCAUUAUACUGCGUGAACAGUUUCAGAAAUAUAACUUCAGCGCAUUGUAGUUUAGUUUAGUGUAUCAUAACCUCUUUUUGUAUGUAUCGUUGUAGCUGCUUAUUGAAUGAAUAAAAUAAAACUUUGAGUAGAUGUUUAACUAU